UACGGGGGGAGCAAGUGUUGUUCGGAUUUACUGGGCGUAAAGGGCGCGUAGGCGGCCACCGCAAGUCGACUGUGAAAUCUCCGGGCUUAACCCGGAAAGGUCAGCCGAUACUGCGGGGCUAGAGUGCAGAAGGGGCAACUGGAAUUCUCGGUGUAGCGGUGAAAUGCGUAGAUAUCGAGAGGAACACCUGCGGCGAAGGCGGGUUGCUGGGCUGACACUGACGCUGAUGCGCGAAAGCUAGGGGAGCGAACGGG
RNAcentral lists this ribosomal RNA (254 nucleotides) under uncultured bacterium. RNAcentral describes it as "partial 16S ribosomal RNA". It matches the Rfam family "Bacterial small subunit ribosomal RNA", at positions 524 to 776 of the family's 1533-position model. The record is from RNAcentral.